CUGGGUGGGGGCAGGUAAACUGUAAUAGAGGGAGUUGGCAAAGGGUGGGAUAAAGUUUGGGUCUCGGCUUCCAUUGGCUGAGAGCCGCGCCGGAGACACACCUGUGAGUGCCAGAGGCUAAGGAGAUUGGCUGCGACCUGAAAAUUACACCUGUGGGGGGGGAAGGGGGCCAGGCUACAUGUAAACCAAACCCUUUACAAAUUCGGUCUCUCUUCUUGAGGAGCUUUACUCGCCUCACAACGACUGAAGGGAGCUCUUGGAGGACGAUGAACAACGCCGACUUUAACCGAGCGAAGCAAAGGCUCGACGCGCGGUUUUACCUCUCCGGGCGGACCUCCUGGGUUUGGCCGGUCCCCUUUCCGCGUUGACUACUUCCCUGCGACGGCGUCCACCUUUUGAGAAUAGGGAAGGUUUUCACGAGGCCGACACACAGCGGAGGUCGACCGUCCCUCAAGCAAGGGGAACGACGAGGAAGACUAGCCGACGAAGGCGACCAAGCCCCUGAUACAAUGACGCCUCUUGUCUGUGGUUUUUUACGGCUCGAUGGACACACCUGGGAAAGACCCCCGGUAACCUACUCACGGGCCCGCCGCCAUGGUUUGUACCACUGAUGAUUAACUAAAUAGAGUCUGGGAGAGCAGGUCUACUUGGCUUUCUCAUUUCAUGGGUCCUGACCGACCGAGAGGAGUCCAUCCAGCGCUCACAGGCCACUGGUUGGAAAUUCAAGACCUAUUUUUUUUCUCUCUCUUUCUUUUUCAUCACCCCCCCCCCCCCCCCCCCCACCCACAUCUUGCUCUCCGGCCGUACCCAAACUCCCAGCCGUCGGUUUUGUUACAUUCUUUCCUUGGGGGUACCUUUCAUGACGGUAAGGUUACAGGUGUGUUCUCCAUUUUUGUUCUCCAUCUUGUUUCAGCGAGCUCCUCAUUCCCUUAUGUCUGACUCAUGUCUCUCUCUCUCUCUCUCUCUCUCUCUCUCUCUCUCUCUCUCUCUCUCUCUCUCUCUCUCUCUCUCUCUCUCUCUCUCUCUCUCUCUCUCUCUCUCUCUCUCCUCUCCCUCUCUCUUUCUCUCUCUCGCUCUCUCUCUGUCUCUCUCUUGCCCUCCUCCUCUUCUUGUGAUCUCUUUUUACUGCACAAUGUCUUCAGUCAUCUUUUACGUAACAUGCAUUGAAAAGUCGAGAAAGUUGUUUUAGAGAGUUUCCGUAUUGUUUCCCUGUGUCAUCGUCCGAUAUACACUGCACCUAUUGUGUUAAGAAUACAGGUGUUGCCACAAUGCCUUCAUUUUUUAUGUUAAAUGAGGCAUAAUAAUAUUACUUUAAGGUAGAACUGCUGAGGGUGCGAUGUUUAACGCCAUGUACCAAUACGGCAAGUUAUUCAGUAAACGAGGGCCAUUCAAUGACCUUCUGAACACACAAACACACACACCCAGCAGCAUUCCUGCAGCCUUUCCUCACACGGUAAACACUAAGGCAGGAAAAUGGAUCGGUCUGGUCAUAAACGGUUUAAGGACCUCACCUCUUCCAUGCACCAUUACUUAAACACCAUCAUAGUGCUAUGAGGACGCAGCAUGAAUUCGCCACACGAUCACAGUGCCACUCGCUUUGCCAUCCCAGCCUGUUGCUCGUGGAUGCUCAGAUACCCCCCCAAAAAAGGUGUAUUUAUUUAUAAAUUGGUCACUGACAUCCAUUGUGUGAAAGCCCUUCCAAGCACCAAGUGCCAUAGAUCCACACCAGUCAGAACCGGUUUGGCCAAUCAUUAACAACUGUGGCCCGAUCCUCUGUGACAGCAUGUUUAAGAUGAGAGCCUCACGCCGAACAAUAGCUACACUAAACACUCUGAGGUAGGUGGGUUCCACGUAUCCAUUUGAGACAGAACCAGUUUUUUUAUUCAUUCACGGUUACUAUUGUAUUAAUGUGCGAUCAUUGCAUGAUAAGUAUAUCAGACCUGAUCUCUAAAAAAUUUGAGUGACAUUUCGUAUCAACUUCAUUUGUGCCAGGUAGGACUAACAGUUGUACUGAGGAUUGUGCUUAUAUUGGGUGUAUGUUGACUGGGUGGUUAUCUCCAUCUUACGAGGCAGCAUUGGAUGUCAUAUCCCUCUCUAAUACUGCCUGGUAAUGAUGAUGAUAGCCAUCUGCUAGCAGCUAACACACACCUACACACUAACAAACACACACACACAUACCGAAAGACCUGUUGAUUUGAGCAAUGUUAGCAUGGCAUGCUAGCAAGACCUGUGAGUGUUGAGGGUGUCAUCUGGAAGAACCGGCUCCCAGGGCCCAUCUUACCUGGCAGUGCUUGAUUGUAUGACUGGUCUUCUAACACUGUCUGGUAACGAUGUUUCCUGGGGGCCACAUGCGACACCAUGGCUCUGUUGUGCACCAAUGACCUUUCCACCACUGUGCUAGUGGCAGAUUAGUUUCACUUACGGUAAAUUUAUGCUAUUAGAUAUAUUCGUUUUAUGUAGAGAGUGAACCAAAUAUUUAUAUGUGUGUUUAGUAUUUAUAUUUAUUUGUGUAUUAUUUAUUUAUGAUCAUGUAUUUUUUUAAUUCUAGAUUCUUCUUCUGUAUUUUAUAGACAUUAGAAUAAGAGAGGAAGUAGAAUAGUAAGAGAUGAAGAUGGACAGGAGCAGUGUAGCUAUUAGCUGGUUUAGCAUUGCGGGCGUCUCAGCUCUUUAUUUUAAAGCUAUGUCCGACAAUGACUGACUUGACUCGCUAAAGUACUCCCCCCCCCCCCCCCCCCCCCCCACACACCCAACCCCACCCGCCAGGAAAUGAGAAAGAGCAGACUUUUGCUCCCUUGAGCUCAACUAUUAUUUUCUUUACAGCUUUACUUCCUUGUCCUGUCUUCCCCCCCCCCCCCUUAUUCAAAGAAAGCCCGCCCAGCCUAGUCAAAGAAUAGCAGGCAGUUGACGGUGGUUCCACCGGUCGUGCAGGUAGCCCCUCCCCCGCACAUUCACACAAAGUGCUGGGUGACAGUGAUUGGUCGAGCUGGACUCACCUGCAUGGUUACAUCCUGUAACUGACACAUGAGCUCACCUGAGGAACUUACGGAUAUUAAAAGAGGUGAAGCCAUUGUGGGCCAUGACUCGAUGCAAUGUCAUCUUUUACACUUAAUAGUGUGUUUUAAAUGCCAACGACAAUCCCUUUGUGGCAUAAGGCUUAAUUUAUUGAAAGACUUUAUAACACAUCAGCAAAUAACUUUCAGUGAAUAUGUUACUUUUUUUAAGGAUUGUAACGCCUAUUCUGCACUUCCUUAUUUCAGUGGUAAAACAUGUUUGAUGCCCUGUUAGGGAAGAGGUUUCGAAACAUGCAGUGACCUUUUAAAUGAUAGACGGAGUCAUUCAAAGGCAAAUAAUAAACAUGGAGCUGCACAUUUCUUUUGUUUGUUUAAGGAGGGUGAAUUACCCCCUCAAAUAUUUAGCCACACCUUUAUUUGCGCAUUUAGCGCCACCAUCUAAGCUAAGGGGAACUGCAAUAGCGGGCUUUCAACGCUGUCAGGCCUUUUCUCCUAGCUUGUGUCACACUGCUGUGUGAACCGUUUGCCUGGCUGAGGAGCUAUCAGCGCUAAUGGGCAUAGCUGGCUGAGGCUACUCUCCACACGCUUAUGAUGUACUUAUUCACGGUUCUGAUGUCAAAUGUGUAUGUAAUAUUUUGGAAAGGGUGACAAGAACCGGGACAAAGCACUAAUUCACGCUCACCUGCUGUUCUACUGCCUUGUUCUCUGAAUGCUUUCUUUUGUGAUCUGUUUCAGCUCACUUCCUUCCUCUGUGUGCAGGUGAAGGUGAGAAGUGCUCAGCCCCUUGAUAGACGUCUUACCAGACACGGUUAGAUUUAAUGAUCUGUGUCUAAUACUGUCUGGUAAUGCCGUCUAUUAAGUGGCGCUACCUUCUACUCUCUCUUACUUCCUUAUUUCUCACUCUCGCACCCAGGGGACAUUGUUUUGUCUUUUGCAUAUGCAGACCUGUCGUGAACCAUUAUGAGGUGAAAUGUCGGAUGUAGGGAGACAGUCAAUGGAUGAUUGACCCACAUUUCCUGUGAACCAAUGAAACUAUGAACCUUGCACUGGAAGAAUGGUUGAGUUUUGAGUUUCCUUCCAUGUGACUCGUGUCAGAGUUUCACUCCUGAGCAGCGACCCGUGAGACCACGGGAUUCUGAGCGAGCCGAUUGGCUGGUUUCCUCUCCAGCAGAGGGCUAAAUUGGGUUCCGCCAUGCGUUCGAUGCAAUGUACUGUAACCGCUGGGUCUAUUUUAAAGCCCUGAGUGUUUUUAUUGUUUCCCUCUUACCUUCAGGGUUGCUAUCGUACUCUAAAUGCUUUCUUUGUUUUUGGUGACUAAUGCUCCUAAUGACUAAUGUAAUGUCAAUCAAUGCAAAGUCAAAUAAAAAAAAAUGAAUGUCAAAAA
Long non-coding RNA from Gadus macrocephalus (Pacific cod), 4395 nucleotides. RefSeq lists it as uncharacterized. Lineage: Eukaryota; Metazoa; Chordata; Actinopteri; Gadiformes; Gadidae. The transcript is spliced from 2 exons. The record is from RefSeq and is a predicted model, not a curated record.